UUUUAGGGUUUGCAAAGCACCUCCUUCCAGUGAUAACUCGAUAUCCGAGCAGAGCCGCCGUCGACGCGUCGUCGUCAUCGUCAGGUAAGGGAAAAUGGUAAAGUUCUUGAAACCAGGGAAGGCGGUGAUCGUCCUCCAGGGGCGGUUCGCCGGGCGGAAGGCGGUGAUCGUGCGGUGCUUCGACGAGGGCACCCGCGACCGCCCCUAUGGCCACUGCCUCGUUGCCGGCAUCCUCAAGUACCCCAAGAAGGUCAUCCGCAAGGAUUCGGCCAAGAAGACGGCCAAGAAGUCCCGCGUCAAGGCCUUCUUGAAGAUGGUGAACUACAGCCACAUCAUGCCCACCCGCUAUACCCUGGAUGUGGAUCUCAAGGACGUCGUCACCCUUGACGUUCUCCAGUCCCGGGACAAGAAGGUGGCCGCCUGCAAGGAGACCAAGGCCCGCUUCGAGGAGCGCUUCAAGACCGGCAAGAACCGGUGGUUCUUCACUAAGCUCCGCUUCUAGAUAAAGAAUUACCAACAAGAGUGUUUAUAUGACAGCGAUAAUCUCAUCAUCAUGAAACUAUCUGGUUAAAUCUCAUUAAAUUGAUGAGUGUACAGGGGCAUCCAGCAAAGCUUUUGUUGAAAACAAAGAAUUAGUGGCUAGUUGAGUCCAUGAUGCAGCUUGAUUGUGGAUGGGGAACAGAGAAGUGUGAAUAACCUACCUAAUAAGCAGAAAUCCAAUCAUCAUUGGGCAAGAAAAGUGAGGGAGGGUGAUAUCUCAACAUGUCAAGGCAUCAAGUAGCUAGUUGAGUAGAUGACGUAGCUCAGUUAUUGACAGAAGAAUAAAGAAGUCUUAAUCACCUAUCUGGCAAGUGAAAAUGCAGUCAUCCGGUGGAUGAGGAAAAGGGUGGAGAGAGGUAUGGUCAUUAUCUAAUUGUAGAUAAAGUUUUCAGAAGAGGGAAGAGAGGUAGAGUCACAAUGGGAAUGUUGCAAAUUAUUGUACAAAUUCGUUGUUUACUGUUAGUGAGAAUUCACCUACAUUUCGCAAAUUGAAAUGUGAGGUCAAAAUGCAGAACAGAUAUACUACAACAUCACCGUCUUAGCUGAAACUGUAUCUUGUUGAGCUUUUAUUCCACAGCUAUUAGCCUUGGAAAUAUUGAUCUUA
Non-coding RNA from Elaeis guineensis (African oil palm), 1144 nucleotides. The record is from RefSeq and is a predicted model, not a curated record. Lineage: Eukaryota; Viridiplantae; Streptophyta; Magnoliopsida; Arecales; Arecaceae.